CCCACCCUGCCUGCGGCCCGCCCUGGGGUCGGCGUCGGGGAGCCCCGAAGGGCCGCGGUACCCGGGGUCCGGGCCAUGCGGCAGCCGCCCCGGCCCCUCCGCGACCACUCCCGGCCCGAGCGGGAGCCGCUGCGGCGUUUCUGCCCCGCGCUGCGCCGCCGACCCCGGACCCGGCAGCCGUGACCCCUCCCGCGGGGGCCCGACCAUGCCGUCCAAGGCGGCGAGCCUGCGGCCCUCGGAGCCGGCCCCGCAGCCGCCGGGAGGGAGGACGCUCCGGGGACCGCUUCCCGGCGCCGACGGAGCGCUGGCGCCGCGCGAGGAGUCCCCCCACGACGCCCCGAGCCCCGAGAGCCCCGCGCUGGGUGGCAGCGCUCCGGCCGCGCUCAGCGGCGAGGAACCCCCGGCCCAGGCGGCACCCAUCGCACCGCGGCCCCCCGCCAGGCCUCGGCUGGAGCGAGCCCUGUCCCUGGACGACAGAGGCUGGAGGAGGCGGCGUUUUCGCGGCAGCCAGGAGAACCUGGAAGCCCGGAAUGGGACCAGCCCCUCCAGGGGCUCCGUGCAGAGCGAGGGCCCCGGCGCCCCCGCCCACAGCGUCUCCCCGCCCUGCCUGAGCGCGUCCCUGCAGGAGAUCCCCAAGUCCCGCAGGGCCCCGGGCAGUGAGAGGGGGAGCCCGUCAUCGGGGAGUGACCCCCUCUCCGGGGUGGCCGGCAGCGCCCCGAACCUCCUGCACAGAGACGCCACCGUGGCGGGGAGCUCGCCCAGGCUGCCCGGCCUGCCGCCCCCGCGCCCCCUGCCUGCGCUGGGCCUGGACAUCGCCUCCGACUCCCUGAGGACCGCAAACAAGGUGGACCCGGAGCUUGCGGACUACAGGCUCCGCGCGCAGCCCCGCCUGGUGCGGGCCCACAGCAGCCUGGGCCCCGGCCGGCCCCGGAGCCCCCUGGCCUGCGAUGACUGCUCCCUUCGCUCGGCCAGAUCCUCCUUCAGCCUCCUGGCCCCCAUCCGCACCAAGGACGUCCGCAGCAGGAGCUACCUGGAGGGCAGCCUCCUGGCCAGCGGGGCCCUGUUGGGGGCGGAGGAGCUGGCCCGAUACUUCCCAGACCGGAAUGUGGCACUCUUUGUGGCCACCUGGAACAUGCAGGGCCAGAAGGAGCUCCCGCCCAGCCUGGACGAGUUCUUGCUCCCGGCCGAGGCCGACUACGCCCAGGACCUGUACGCCAUCGGGGUCCAGGAGGGCUGCUCCGACAGGCGGGAGUGGGAGACUCGCCUGCAGGAGACGCUGGGCCCGCACUAUGUGCUACUGGCGUCCGCCGCCCACGGUGUGCUCUACAUGGCGCUGUUUAUCCGUCGGGACCUCAUCUGGUUCUGCUCAGAGGUGGAGUCCUCCACGGUCACCACACGCAUCGUGUCUCAGAUCAAGACCAAGGGGGCCUUGGGCGUCAGCUUCACCUUUUUCGGCACCUCCUUCCUCUUCAUCACGUCCCACUUCACCUGUAAGUUGCUAGGUGCCCACAUCGCAGGUGCUGUGGGAGAAGAGCCUGACCGGGACACCAUCCGGGGCAGGGGUCCCGGCCGCUGGCUUCGUCUUCCAUCCAGGGCCUGGGGCGGGCACCGUGUUUGCAAAGACCCAUGCCGAGGACCCCACAGCCGACCCCGACAUGAGGCCUGUGCUGUGCAGAGCCCAGAGCUCUGUCCUCUAAGGCGGAAGCAUCACUGGCCGGGCCUGGCAGCAGGUUCCCAGUGGGCCUACACCUGCAAACAGUGGGCAGGCAGGCAUGGUCCAGAGGUGCUGUUCUUGAGGGAGAUUCGAGCAUCCGGAGCUGUGUGGCCCCCACCCCAUUUCUGCUCCUGCAGCUGGCGACGGGAAGGUGGCGGAGCGGCUGCUGGACUACACCAGGACCGUGCAAGCCCUGGCCCUGCCCAGAAACGUGCCAGACACCAACCCCUACCGUUCCAGCGCAGCGGACGUCACCACCCGCUUCGACCAGGUGUUCUGGUUCGGAGACUUCAAUUUCCGCCUGAGCGGCGGGCGCGCGGCCGUGGAUGCCCUCCUGGGCCAGGGCCUGGCAGUGGAUGUGCCGGCGCUGCUGGAGCACGACCAGCUCAUCCGGGAGAUGAGGAGAGGGUCCAUCUUCAAGGGCUUCCAGGAGCCGGACAUUCACUUCCUCCCGUCAUACAAGUUUGACAUUGGGAAGGACACGUACGACAGCACCUCCAAGCAGAGGACGCCUUCCUACACGGACCGCGUCUUGUACCGAAGCCGCCACAAGGGUGACAUCUGUCCAGUGAGGUACUCUUCCUGCGCCGGGAUCAGGACGUCCGACCACCGCCCCGUGUACGGCCUGUUCCGGGUGAAAGUGAGGCCCGGGCGAGACAACAUUCCCCUGGCAGCCGGCAAAUUUGAUAGAGAACUGUACUUGAUAGGAAUUAAAAGACGGAUUUCGAAGGAAAUUCAGAGGCAGCAAGCGCUGCAGAGUCAGAGCUCCAGCACCAUCUGUUCCGUUUCUUGAAGUUUGCUGAACAAGGACUCAAAACUGCGAUACGGGGUGGUUGUAUCUUAGCAAAACCCACUGGGAAGAACAAAGAAUGGGCCGCCUUUUGGGGACCCGAGAACCAAUGCCGGGCCACGGGACUGUGCCUGCGUCCCCGGAGGGAAGCCACCCCUCACAGCCGAGCGAGCCCACCCUUGUCCGUGGCAGGUCCGCCGGCAUGGAUGCACAGGGCUUACACCCGCCUGGCGGCACCACAUCCCAGCCACUCUCUGGGUGACAUCAGAAUCCAGUCCUCAGCAGCUCCCAUGCCCUGGGGAGUCACUGGGCCCCGUGCUCUGCACCGGCCUCUCCACACCCGCGGCAGGCGCCCAUCUGUGUCGUCCUGCCAGCCCGUCAAACACGCGCCAAGGGCUGGGUCCUCCCUUGUCUGAGCACCCCAUGUCACACAGGUGUCCAGAGUGAGGCUGCAUCUGGAGUGGGUGACCCUCAGGCCUCAGAGCUGGCUCCAGAGCCCAGCUGAGGAAGCCAUAGUUUCCAGGAUGUGACGUGGUUCACCCCUCACUAGGCUGCAGGUCGCCUGCUGUGGGGCGAGGAGGCCAGCACCCCAGCAUGAGGGCUGCCCCCGCCCCCAGAGUGAGAAGCCACCUCCCCGUUUUUCUCAGGCCAAGCCUGCAGGCGAGAAAGCCUCUCAUGGCUUUGGUGACUUAGACCAUUCGCUUCUGUAACUACAGCCACAGAAUGAUGUUAAUGGAGCCGUGUGGAGCCUAGGCGGGAAACUGCUGGAAGCCCAGGAUGCCACCACCUUGAACACCGAGGCCAGGGAUACCCCCCACGUCCAGGCUCGCUCUUAAAGAGUUCAGACGUGUCCGUCCCUACAGCCCCAGGCUCUGCUUGGAAAGUUUAGAUCCAUCCAUUCUUGCUUUGUGUCCCAUCCCAUCUCUUGCAAAAAAUGUAGUCUUUGAAUGUGAAAAUCUAGGCACAUUCAACCUAGUCUUUUAAAUUAUUUAUUUUUCCAUAUUUAUAUUUUUAAAUAAAUGCAUAUAUUGAGUCUAAACUCUUUCUGGUCA
Saimiri boliviensis boliviensis (Bolivian squirrel monkey) is the source of this 3556-nucleotide non-coding RNA. NCBI's taxonomy places the organism in Eukaryota, Metazoa, Chordata, Mammalia, Primates, Cebidae. The record is from RefSeq and is a predicted model, not a curated record.